UGAGGAAUAUUGGUCAAUGGGGGCAACCCUGAACCAGCCAAGUCGCGUGAAGGAUGAAGGUCUUAUGGAUUGUAAACUUCUUUUACACGGGAAUAAAGCGGGGGACGUGUCCCUCUUUGCAUGUACCGUGUGAAUAAGGAUCGGCUAACUCCGUGCCAGCAGCCGCGGUAAUACGGAGGAUCCGAGCGUUAUCCGGAUUUAUUGGGCUUAAAGGGUGCGCAGGCGGGAUGUUAAGUCGGCGGUGAAAUUUUGCAGCUCAACUGUAAAAGUGCCUUCGAUACUGGCCUUCUUGAGUGUGGAUGAAGUAGGCGGAAUUUGUGGUGUAGCGGUGAAAUGCUUAGAUAUCACGAGGAACUCCGAUUGCGCAGGCAGCUUACUAAGCCAGAACUGACGCUCAUGCACGAAGG
RNAcentral lists this ribosomal RNA (407 nucleotides) under uncultured bacterium. RNAcentral's name for it is "bacterial SSU rRNA". It matches the Rfam family "Bacterial small subunit ribosomal RNA", at positions 355 to 759 of the family's 1533-position model. The record is from RNAcentral.